Molecule: ribosomal RNA, 273 nt
Filed under: Escherichia coli
Lineage: Bacteria; Pseudomonadati; Pseudomonadota; Gammaproteobacteria; Enterobacterales; Enterobacteriaceae
Description: partial 23S ribosomal RNA
Rfam family: Bacterial large subunit ribosomal RNA
Source: RNAcentral
AAAGAAAGCGUAAUAGCUCACUGGUCGAGUCGGCCUGCGCGGAAGAUGUAACGGGGCUAAACCAUGCACCGAAGCUGCGGCAGCGACGCUUAUGCGUUGUUGGGUAGGGGAGCGUUCUGUAAGCCUGCGAAGGUGUACUGUGAGGUAUGCUGGAGGUAUCAGAAGUGCGAAUGCUGACAUAAGUAACGAUAAAGCGGGUGAAAAGCCCGCUCGCCGGAAGACCAAGGGUUCCUGUCCAACGUUAAUCGGGGCAGGGUGAGUCGACCCCUAAGG